This 253-nucleotide ribosomal RNA is filed under the name uncultured bacterium. RNAcentral describes it as "partial 16S ribosomal RNA". It matches the Rfam family "Bacterial small subunit ribosomal RNA", at positions 524 to 776 of the family's 1533-position model. The record is from RNAcentral.
UACAGAGGGUGCGAGCGUUGUCCGGAAUCAAUGGGCGUAAAGGGCGCGUAGGCGGCUUGGUAAGUAGGGGGUGAAAUCCCACGGCUCAACCGUGGGGCUGCCUUCUAGACUGCCGAGCUUGAGCACAGUAGAGGCUGGUGGAAUUCCCGGUGUAGCGGUGGAAUGCGUAGAGAUCGGGAAGAACAUCUGUGGCGAAGGCGGCCAGCUGGGCUGUUGCUGACGCUGAUGCGCGACAGCGUGGGGAGCAAACAGG